CUGACUUCAAGAGUGAAGCUGCAGACCUUCGCGGUGAGUGUUACAGCUCAUAAAGGCAGCGUGGACCCAAAGAGUGAGCAGCAGCAAGAUUUAUUGCAAAGAGGGAAAGAACAAAGCCUCAUGGGGAGGGAGCUAAGGCCCAGCGAGAAUUCGACCACAGCGCCGGUGGGCCGUCACUGCUAGGGAACCUGGCGCACCCUCUGCACCUGCUGGCCCGGGUGCUAAGCCCCUCACUGCUUGGGGCCUGUGGUGCUGGCUGGCCCUCUGCUCCAGUGCAGGGCCAGCCCAGCCCACACCCACCCUGAACUUGCGCUGGCCCACCAGCGCUGUGUGCAGCCUGGUUCCCGCCCGCGCCUGUCCCUCCACACCUCCCCUCAAGCAGAGGGACCGGCUUCGGCCUCAGCCUCGGACUGCCCAGAAAGGGGCUCCCACAGUGCCAUGGUGGGCUGAAGGGCUCCUAAAGGACCGCCAGAGUGGACACAUGAGGCCGCGGAGGCCUCAAGAGCGAGGGCUGCUAGCGUGUUGUCACCUCUCAAAACCAUGCAAAAUUUGGAAAGAAAAAGUAAGUGAACUCAUCUAUGCUCAUGUAAACUAUUGUAUUAGUUUCCUGUUGUUGCUAUAACAAAAUACCACAAACUUGAUGGCUUAAGACCACAAAAAUAUUUAUCUUACUGUUCUGGAAUUCAGAAGUCCAAAAUGGGCCUCACUGGGUUAAAUUUAGGUGUCUACAGGGCUGCAUUCCUUCUGGAAGAUCUGUGGGAGAAUCCAUUUCAUUGCUGUUUCUAGCCCUAAAGGCUGUCCUGUCUCUUGGCUGUGUUUCCCUUCCAUCUUCAAAGCCUCCAAUGGCUGACUGAAUCUUUUUCAUGCUGCAUCACUCUGAAUCUGACCCUUGCGGCUCAUCCUCCACACCGAAAGAACACUUUUAAUUACAUACGGCCUAACCAGAUACUCCAAGACAGACUGCUUACUUUGAGGUCAACUGAUUAGCAAUCUUAAUUUUCCCUUUCCAUCUAAUAUAUUCACAGGUUUGAAGGAUUAGAAUGUGGACAUCUUUGGAGAGAGGAUCAUUCUUCUCCCUUCCACAUCUACCUUCUAUGCGUUUUUCCAGAGUUGAAAUACUAUAUAUGUAAUUUGUUUAGCAUUGUCCACCUACACUUGUGGUUUGAAUUUUCUCAUGUUAGUGCUUUUCAGUGAAUAUUUUUUCACAGUCACAGAACACUAUAUGGAAAGAAUUUACCAUCGUUUUCCUACCCAUUCACCUAACAUUGGCCACUUAACUUAUUUAAAAAUAUGUAUUGUAUAUGAGUUGUGUGACAGGUGCCCUGCAAAUAAAUGGAAUUUUAGUCAUUGAUAAGACAAAGUCUCUGCCUUUGGGGGAACUAAUGGGAAAGAGAGGAAGAAAGAAAGUAAGGGAUUAGUCAGAGUAUAAAUUUAUUAAAAUUCUGAUGUGGGCAUGACAGUGGAGAACAGGUUACCAUAAAAAUGGAAAGAAUAUUUCUUAAAUGGAGAGUCAGGCAUGGUUUCCCUAAUAAAGUGACAUGUUUGCUGGGGCUAGAGGGUGAAGAGAUUUAUCCACUUUAGAAGCCAGGGAAAGAGUGUUUGAGGCAAAACAACAAAAAGCAACAAUAACAACAAAAAGAACAAGAGUAAAACAACAAUAACAACAAGCAGAACACGAGUAAAGACCCAACGUCAGGAAGCUGCUUGGCUCAGUGGAUGAGUAUGAAGUGAGACAAACUGGCAGGUGUUUGGUAAGAAAAAUGGCUCAGGAUGAAGACAGAGAGGUGAGAAAAAGCCAUCUCAUAUAAGACUUCGUAUGCCAAGGUAAUAAUAGUGGAUUUCAUGUUAGAAACAAGGAAAGCUAUAGAAGAAUUUUAAUCAAAGGAGAAACACAAUAUGAUUGUAUUCAAAAUGAUCCCUCUGGCUAUAGCACUUCCUCUCAAACCCUUCUAAAGUAUAUACAGCAGAAGGAGAGAUGAGGAGGUGGGGACCAUAUUGAGAAAUAUUCACAGAUUUGUAGAUAGAGGAGAUGGUCAGGAUGGUGGGAGCCACUGAAAGGUUGGUGAUGCCAUGAUUCCAUUUACUAGGACUAGUAUAGACUGAAAGAAAGCUGUUAUAGUAGGAGGACUGAGUACAAUUUUGGACGCAUUAUAUUUCAGAGGUUUCUGGGUCAUAAACAUGGAGGUUCCAAUGAGAAGUUUAUUAGUAUAGUCAAGGCCUGAUGUUUCCUGUGGACUGGAGCUUUAUCUGUGGAAGCUUUGUAGACAGCAACCAUAGGCAUGGAGAAAACUAAAAAGGAAAAAGGGAAAAGGUUGCUUCUUAUUUCAGCUCUUAAGAGGAACAAUUUUUUAAAAUUGCAUGAAUCAUUGACCCCUUUUUGUAUCAUUUAGAACAUUACCAAGUCGAGGGUAUAAAUAUUUUAAUGUUGAAAUGAAGCUUAAAUGACAAACAGGCAGACAGAUUUAAGGAAGGAUAUUCCAGGGAGACAGAAUAACAUGGGCAAUGGCCAAGAAACAUGGAGACGCACAUUGUUCAGCAGAGUUUAGAAGUGUGAUAUGACAAGGCCCAGGUUCUAAAAAUUCUGUUCUAAAAAUUUUACACUUAUUAAAUCAACGAGUCUGUGAGGUAAUUACUAUAAUUACCUCAUUUUAUAGAUGAGACAACUGAGGCACUAAGAAGAUAAGUAGCUUUUGCCAGUUAUAUUGUUAGGAAAUUGUGCUAGAAUUCAAGCCCAGGCAGGCUGUAUUACAUAAUGGACAACUGCUAUUGCCAAGUACUCUUCUAAUUACUCUCAUUUAGUGGUGACUGUUUCCCUUUUCAUCCUAAUGAAGUCUGCCAACAUUAUCCAUCCCCACUGCUAUAGGAGUGGGCAAAACACCCAAGCUGGCCUUAUCAGUAUUUUUUUUAGAGGUUUUAAAGUUGGAAAAAAAGAACAAAAUAUUUCUGCUCCUCUGAUAGCAAAGCUAGUGAAAUGUGCAAAUGGCUAUGGUUCCAACCUAGUAGACAUAGCCAUGGUGAAUUUGUAAACUUAACCUACUGAGAGAAGCAGAGAUGAGAUCCAGUGAGCCUCCUGGUGGUACUUAAAUCCCCAACUCACUCCAGUCCUGUUGGGGCAAGACUUCCUUUUCAGCAAUUUGGUCAUGUGAAUCACAAAAUGCCUAAGCCUGUCUGAGUUGGUUACGAUGAUUUGUGGUCAAAAGUGUUUUGACUAAUAUAUGGCUGAUUUAUUGCAGUUAAAACAGCAAUUGGCAUGGGUAGACUUGUGUUUAAGAAAGGUAACACUUGCAAGAGUGUGAAAAGUGCAAGACUGGAGACAGAAAGAAUAAUUGGACUAUUUCUGUAACUCCAGUGAAUAGUGAAGAAGUGGGCUAAAGCAUCAGCACUGAGGAUGCUUUAGUUUACUUCUUCAAUAUUUAGUCCACUUCUUCAUGUUCUCCACUGAGGAAGUGAAGAAAAUGAUAUAAAACACGUCAGUAUGGUAAUACUGAUUGAAUUUUGUUACUGGAUGGAAAGGGUCAGAGUGAGGGAGGAAAUGCACAGGUUUACAGCUGGAGAAGUAUGGUAGAUAGAGUAUCAUUUAGGCAGUAAUAGUUUGAAGGUGGUAGAGGAAAUGAUGAAUCCAAUUUUACUUAUCCAAUGGUAGAUAUCAUCCAAUUUUACAUAUAAGUGAUGUCCAGAACACACUUAUAUACAGUUGACCCUGGAAUAGCAUGGGUUUGAACUACACAGGUCCACUUAUAUAUGGAUCUUUUUUCAACAAAAGUUAUACCAAGUAUACCUGCCUCUUCUCCUGCCUCCCCUUCUACCUGCUUCACUUCUGCCUCUGCUACCCCUGAGACCCCAAGACCAACCCCUACUCAUCCUCCUCCUCAGCCUACUCAGCGUGAAGGCAAUGGGGAUGAAGACCUUUAUGAUAAUCUGCUUCCACUUAAUCAAUAGUAAAUAUAUUUUUCUAUUUCUUGUGACUUUCUUGACAUUUUAUUUUUGUUGUAAGAAUACAGUUUAUAAUACAUCUAACAUGCAGAAUAUAUGUUAAUUGGCUAUGUUAUCAGUAAGGCUUCCAGUCAAUGCUCAGUUAUUAGUUGAUAAGUUCUUGGGGGAGUCAAAACUUAUAUGUGGAUUUUUGACUGUGUAGGGGAUCGGCACCCCAGUCCUUGUGUUGUUCAAGGAUCAAGUGUAUAUCGAUGUGAAGAGAGACGUAUGCUUGGUAUAUAUUGGUUUGGCAAUCAUCAGUGUGUUGGUCUUAGAAUGUGGAACGCCAUUAUUGAUCCUUCCUAAAGUAGUUUUAAUGGCAAGGAAGGCACAGAAGCCUGAUUUCGUACUUGAAGAGUGAAGGGAAAUCUUCUACUUAGACAUAGAAGACUGAGUUCAUAUAUGUGUGUUUACUUCCUCUCAAACCCUUCUAAACUAUUAGCAAAGAAUUAAAACCUACAAGAAAAAGUGAUGGGGAAAGGAGGGGAAAAGUAAGGUCUAUGACAUUUGGGAAGUGAAAUGUAAGAGAAACAUGGUGAUCAGAGCAUAGGAAGCUUGUAACUAACUGAAGAAGGAAGGUCCUGCAAGAAAUAAACGUUUUACCUCUGGGCCCUGGAAUUGGAGGCAACAAGAAUCACUGAAACAAGGAAGAGGAAAGAAGGUUGAAAUUCUGCAGCAGCAAUUUGUCUUUCAGAUUUCCUCCACAGCCAAGUGACAACUCCUCCUAAAUCCUAAUAUAAAGCAGGAGGCUUACCUACUGGUAAGAUUAAAUCAGAAAUAUUCUAGACUUCAGGAUAUCAGACACAGUAGAGGGCCUGAAAACAAGGUAAUUGAUGAAAAAUCUGGGUACCAAAUAGAAAAGCCAUCAACUCCUUCUUUACCCAGGAUGCUAUAUCCAAGCUUUUAGUUCUCCAGACAGGAGCAUAAUAGAUUCCUAUUUAAAGGAAGACAUGUGUAUAUGGGAAUGAGGGGUAUAGAAUUAAUUUCUAAAUAGUGACAUUUGAAGCUUGUUGAAAACAUUCAGGUCCUACCCAAUUAUUCUAAGACCUGUGAUCAAGUAAACUCUACCUAGUCACACAAACCUCACUCUCUACUCUUUAAGCCUCACUUUAACAUACAAAUUGCUAAGUAUUCCAGGGAAUUUGAGAAAUUCCUUUAAUGCAAGACAGAGGAAAAUGGGAAAAUCAGGAAUAAUCACUCAGAAAAACUGAAACAUUCACAAUACAGUUAGCAAAAGAAAAACUUUAAAAAGCAAUAACUGAUAUGCUCAGAGGAAAAAUAAAAGACACAGGAAAGAUGAAUAGGAUGAAAUUUAGAAAGAACAUUUAGUGAACAAAAAGAUUUUUAGAUAUGAAAACACGUGAUUCUGGAAAUUUAAAAAAAAUGUAAGGAUUAGAAAUUAAAAGUGAGAAAAACAUAGAAACAGCUAAUAAGAAAACAAAGGAGAAUCAUAAUAGGCAAGAAAAUUGAGAAAAGUAAACCAAGUAGUCUAGAAUUCUAAUUUAUACAAUAAAUGUUUAUUGAGCAUUGUUAUGUGUCUUGCAUUGUUCUAGGUACUAAGGAUAUCACAGCAGAAUAAAAUAAAAUCCUAUGCUCAGGAGUUCCGAUGAGACAGAAUUGAGAAAAUGGAAAAAGUUACACUUAAAUGGUGGCUAGAAACAAAGACCACAGAGAAGAUUGAAGAGGGGCCAGAUUUCUGAGGGAAACCAACAAAGCAUGGCUUCAUGAAAGCAAAGGAUACUGUGAGUAGUUUCAAGGAGAAAGUGAUCAAAUUUCACUAAUAGACCACUCAACUGUUUGAUAAUUAGCAAGCCCUAAUUGACUUGGUUUAGAUUUUUUUUUUUUUUUGAAGAGGUUGAUUUAAAAGCUUGUUUUCAGUUUUCUAAAUAAAUGAGAGGUAAGGGAGUAAACUCAAUUUGUGGAGAAACUAGAUAUUUAAGAUGUUAGGAGACAAAAUCAGGAAAGGUAAGUCAAGAUUUUUGUUUGUUUGUUUCAGGAUCAGAGAGACUUAAGGGAAAUAAUUAGAAAAGAGAGACAAAAAGAGAAGACCCUGAAUAAAAAAGAAAUAGGGGAGGAACAUUUCAAUAGGAUAGCAUCCAGAGUACAGACUGAGCCAUUUGAAGUGAGAAUAUCAUUGUUCACUUAUGCUAUGAGGAUAAAAGUACAGGUUGGUGCCAAAAAUCCAGCAAUCCAUCAACUUUAUGAACUCUACUUCUGUUAUAUUCUAUUUUCGAUGAACCAGUCAUUUCUUUUUUUUCUCUCAAUUCUUGUUUUAUUCAUGGUCUUUUUCAUGUGCACACUUUUAAAUCUUUAUGACAACUGUGAAGUUGAAAUCACAGGCCUUGCCUGUUUGUCUUUCUAAUUUCCAGUUUCUGUGUGUAUGUUAGCCACAUGAAAAUCUUUGAAGAAAAUUCUGCAGAUAGCUCAAACUAUGCAUCAUUAAUACCUGGUCUAGAAUGAAACUAAAUUUUGAAGCAUUGGCUGAUGACCCUUAUAGAAGUCAGACAAAUCAAAACAACUGAGUUUAAGGUUUUAAAUGUGCGUAUUGUGUUGUAAUUUUACAGCCUGAGCAGAUGAUCUACAACCUGGCCUCAAAGAUCUGCAUGCAAUAAAUUGCAAGAUGGACCUUAUUUAUUUAUUUAUUUUUUUAAACUUCCAAAUGUGGAAGGGAUGAGUCAGCCUAUCUGAGAUUUUAAACUGCCAGUUCCAGGGACACUGCACAACUCCAAGCCAUUGCUUCCAGCAAAUUACUAUUAAAAAUAUUUUCUGCUAGGCAGGACUGCCUAAUGUGUGAACCUUGACCAGUUUCUUUUAAGUGAAAGUAAAUAUUAGAAAGCAAAAACAACAGAAUUACUACUGAAGGGCAGGAGCAAGGUUAUUUCCUUCAUGUGGUUUUGAAAAUCUGUUUGUUUUAAUAGCCUUGAUGUUUUACAAGAAGAGUCAGAUAUAAUUCAUUUUACCAAGGACAAGAUGAAGUUGAAUCAAUUUUCUCUCUAAAAAACCUAAUAAUAUGCAAAUUGAUAUAUAAAUGUCAGUGAAUAUACUGUGGAUAGGCACCUACAAGGUAUUAUGUUUGUACAGAUAUCAAGGACAUGAUAUUGUUCACAUAAUUGCAAAUAUUUAUAUACAGUAGAAUGAAAAGGAUAUUUAAAAAUAUAGGAAAGUAUGAAAAUUUUGACAUGAUAUUUUAAAGUCUUCUAAGAUACAUGUUGAAAAUGAGUGCACUGAUCAUUUAUUUAUAUGUCAUUUUAGUAAUGAGAGUACUAGAAAAUAUUUGCCUCUGAGCAUAAACAUUUGGUUUAAUGAUUCUUAAUUAUAAUUUGAACUGCAAUACAAAUGACUAUGUGUAAAGAAUAUCAUUAAUGAAUUAGUUAACAUAAAGAGAAGUGUAGGUCACUGCUCACAGUAGGAGCUCAGAAAUUGUUAGCUGGAUUUGAACAACUUAAAAAUAAGAAGAAAAAAGUUUUAAGCCCUCCUAUAAACAAAAGAUACUCCCUGACAGGAGCCCAUUCUUUUUUAGUUUGAUUAAAAGAUCUUCCUAGGCUUUGGGGUAGUUGUUUUUCCUCCUUUAAAUUUGUCAGUAUUCCUUCAGUUUUCUCCAUUAUUAGAUGUUAUUUUAUCACUAUGAUCAGAAAAAAUGAUUUUGGAAAGACAUAUUGUAAAAUUUCACUUCCUUACAUGGGAUUUUACUUUAAAAUUGGAUUUUUCAUGGAGCAUAGAAAUACCCAUUGCGUGAAUCUAUCUACUGUUAUAUCUCCAAACACUUCCCUUGAUAGAAUGAAUGGAAUGCCAUAUACAAUACAUAAGUGCACAACAUACCAUGAGCUUAAAAAUAAAACAUAUUUAGAAAGAACUACUAAAAUUACAAUAUAAUAUUUUUAAUGCUACCAUUCAUGGGCUUAGUCUACCUGCAUCUUUCUGAUGUCUGCAUUUCCCCUCUGCUAUCUGAAAACAGAUUUUAAAUUGCAUUUACCAAACUCAUUCACACUUCAGCUAACUUAUAUUGUCUUUCAGUGUAUCUUUACUACACUUUGUAAAAACUUGUAAAAAUAUCUGUAAUUGUUGACCACCAUUACACACUUUGUGAGAUAUAGCCAAGUAAACAUAUUUUAGGCUAUAUGCAUGAGAAGUUAUUUCUUUAAAAACAACCUUAUUUGUUCUGUCUUAUCAAAUACUCAGUCAAGUUCUAUUAAACCAAUUUUAUUCUAGUGAAGGUCAGUGUAUACACACACCUAUAUGGGGAAUAGACACAAAAACCCUUCCAGAGCUAGAAGCAAACUGUUUCAGUUUUCUAUUAUUUCUUAACAAAUACCUCAAUACAGCAUUUUCAAAACACAAUCGUUUUAUUUGCUCAUGAUUCUGCAACUUUGGCUGGGCUCAACUGAAUGGUUCUUAUGUCGGUCUUGCUGGUGGUAACUUAUGUGAUUGUACCAGUUGAAAGAUUAACUAGGGAUCUGGGAUCAACUGGCCCUUGAGACAACAGGGCUUCUCUUUUUGCCCUGCCAUGUAAUUCCAAAGCCACUUCUUUCCAUGUGGCCACUCCAAAGCGGGAUAGAUAUAUUUCUUACAUGGUAAUUUAGGGCUCACCGGAAUGUAAAAAUUUAGACUUGGAACUGGUUAUGGUUAAAGUGAAGUGCAGAUUCAUGGGGAAAGAACUACACAAGGCCAUGAAUACUGGAAGCUGUGGUUCACUGGAGGAUGCCUCCAGUGACACUAAGUUCAAGAUAGAGUGUGUAUUCUCACUGCCCUUAUGGGGCACUACAUGUCACCACAGGAAUGUUGGUUAUGCCCAACAAGGUGGAUGAACCCAUUGCAUGAAUUUAGAUAAGUGAGUGAAAUGGUCAGGUAGGUCUCUUGGGUAGCACUUGGAGAAUGGAUUUCAGAACAAGACUAGAGUCAAUGAGACCAAUUCAACAGUAGUGCCAUAAUUGAGAUGAGAAAUGAUUUGAGCCUACAUCUAGGUUACUAUUUUCCCCAUAAACUUUCCUUUGGCCUCCUAACUUGAAGAGGGUAAAGAAAUAAGUAUAUAGGGGAAAAGAAAAAUUUUGCGUAAUUCUGUGGCUAGUAACACUAUUCACUCAGAUGAGGGAGGCAGAGGAAACACUUUUUAAAAAAUAUCUAUUAAAGUUGAUGUUUCUAUUGGUGUUCAGGUAUAAGUAUGUAGGAGUCAUAUGGUUGUGUGGAUUUGGAUCAAGAGAAGGAUCUAGGACACAGAUGAAGACUGAAGGGUCAUUAGUCUUUCAGGCUUUUGGAAAUGCUGUACUCACCAAAAAAAAUGCAUAGAACAGUGUUUCUUAAAAAGGAAGGUGGCAUGUAUCAGGGUCCAGUAGGGAAAAUUGCCAACUCUAUGUUCUAAUACUCUUCCAGGCCCCAGCAUUGCAAGGGUAGGGUAGGAGGCAAGUAUACUAGGAACAGGCUCCUAGGUGCUGCUUUACCUUUUUCUUCCAGGGGAUAUAGGUAUUGACACAAUUUUAAAAGCUCCCCAGGAGAUUCUGCUGUACAUCGAGGAUUAAGAAUCACUAAAGGAAAGUGAGGAGGGCGUAAGGGUGAACAUUUCAUCCAGAGCAACAAAAGUCAAAAGAGCAAGGCCAAACCCGAUAUUGUAAUAUUUAGAUGGCAACUACAACUAUUUUAAAAAAAAAUCUGUCACAGAUUAAAGGACAAAUUUUGUAUAUAUAAUUUCUGUUAAGGUCCCAUAGCCAUUCAUUGGGUUUUUCAACAAUUGGUCUACCUUCCACCAUGUAAGAAUUCAACAGCCACUGUUUUUCUAGAGACGUGUGUUUUCAGUUUUUCACAUUGGUCUAGUGAUGGAAUAUGAUCAUAUCCUGGAGUGGUUCAAAUAUACUUUUUUGUGCUUCUCUAGUUUCCUUUUUGGUGACAAUUUUACCAUUUUUCAAUCAUGCAGCAUUUCCUGUGCUUGCUCUUUUCUCUUUUCCUCCCUUGACAUCCUACCCCAUCCUUCUGAAUUUGUGCAUCCUUCAAGAAUAUUUCCUGUCUUCAAGUCAUUUUCCUCCUCAGGUUUCUAGAUGUCUACUUUAACUUUAGCUUCUUUCUGUUUGUUUAAUAGCGAAUCACUUACCAUAUACAUCCAAUUCAGGUCUAACUGGAUUCUGUAUGGCAAGUUAAAUUUAAAAGGAUAAUGGCAGAAUUCUUUAUUGGGUUUUUAAGAUUGCUCCUAAUAUCCAUCCAUCUAGUCAUCUCUUUUUACUUCACAGAUUUAAUCAAUCAGUUAGUGGAGUGAAAACGCCGAAUCCUAUGGAUUUCUCCUCAACCUCUCUGUGCUUCAGUUCUUCAUCUGUAAAAUGGAGACAAUUUCAGCAUCUUCUUCAUAGGGUUAUAGGAGACACUAGAUGUAAAGCUCAUACAACAAUAGCAGCCAGUUAGUGAGUGUUCAAUAAAUAUUAGUUAUUAUCAUGACUUCUUAAUUAUAACUCACCUUCUUCUAAAGUUUAAGUCACUUUUCUAAAUAAAUUGACCAGUGUAUAAUUAACAGAAGGAAGUAUGCAAGCCCAUACACUCAUACACACACACACACACACACACACACACACACACACACGUUGAUUUGAGUGAUGAUUACACAGGCAUAUACAUUUUGUAUACUCACAAUUUAUGUAUUUUCUAUAUGGAAAUAAUACUUCAAUAAAUUACUUGGGAAAAAAUGUAAUUAGAGGCAGAAUAAGAGAGUCGUUAAGACUACAGGUUCUGGAACUAGACUUCUGUUCAAUACUGGCUCUGGCACUAACUAGUUGUGUGAUUUGAGGCAGGAAUUAGCCUUCGUUAUCCCAAUUUCCACAGUAGUUAAACCUGGAUAAAAGUAUGUAUCUCAAAGAGUUGUUGUGAGGAUUAAAAGAUAUAAUUUAAAAUACUGCCUACUACAUCUUAUAUAGUAUAUAAAUGUCAGCUAUUGUUUUAUCAUUCUGUAUCCUGAUAAACUGCAAUAUUAGUUUGACGAAUGUAUCAAUGCUUUAAAAAAGAUAGUAUAUAUUUUCUUAAAAUAAAGACAUUAUACAUUUCUAGGCUAUGUAUCCUUUUCUGUGUAUAUCCCAUAUCUAUACUUAGUUAGUAUGUUUCUUCAUGAACAGAAUAAGAUUUAUAGCUUUUUGUUACUUCUGUGUAUCUCUAGCAUUUAAUCUGAUGCCACUUUUAAUAAGAGCAAAGUUAGCAUUCAUUGACUCUGACUGAACAUUAAGGUCAUAUCAGAUAACAAGAAAACACUUUUUAUUAGAAAAACUAAUUAAAUUGAAUAUUCACAACUACUAGUGAAAAUUGUGUGUUACUGAUUUAAAUCACAUUGACCCAAAGCAUAAUGAUUCCUUUAGCAGCAAAUUUUAAAAUUUUAUGAAAAUAAGUUUGUGAGAAGUAAACAGAUUUUAUUGUAACCUCAACUAUUCUACUCAACUCUUCAGAUCCCAGAAAAUUAUAGUAAUACUAAAUUGGAAUAAUGUCAGAUGAUGGAAAAUUCAGAUCCACAUGGAUAAUUGUCUCAUAAGUAGAGAGUGGCUAUGAUUCUGGAGCUUUAAACAUUCAAAUCUAAAAGACAAAUGUCCCAGGGUUUUAUAAUGACUCACGCAGUAACUUUUUCACUAUAAAUUUACAUUAUUUAAAUUGAAUUUUAAUACAAAGUGCGAAAUACGAUUUAACAGUUAUUUAUGUGAAUUAGAAUAAUUUCUUCAGUGCUUUAAAAGAAAAUGUACAAGCUUUGAUAUUCUUCAAUUAAGUUAUCAAAUAACAAUGUUGGCAAUUCUUUCCUUUUUAAUAUUAGCUGUAAAAUAAAGGGUAAAAGAAUGCCACUUUACUUCCGGUUUUGGAACUGAGAACUGAACAUGACCAUUAUACCCUUACCAUUUAUUAUAUGCCAUUACUAUUUCUUAUGCAUACCAACUACUUUUCAGUUCCUAUACAUGGAAUGUGUGGAAAUUUUCUUCUUUAAUUUGACAUUUCUAUUGUGGGGUAAACUGGUGUGGAGUAUUAAAAUACUAUAGAAACAGCCAUCUAGAAAGUGAUAAGAUGAUAUGCAACAGAGAUAAGGGCAAUUUUAGACAUCAAAAAGCUUUUCCUUGGCUAUUGAUUGAAGGAAACCUGAUUUUGAAAAAAAAAAAUAUCCAUAGGAAAAAAUGUGUGAUGUUUGUGUGGUGGUGGUGAGCCAGUUACUCCAGUACAAGUUAUUUUUGAGACAGUAUUGUAAACAUUAUUGGUCACAAAAAGAAUAACAAUGGAAUUAGGGCUCAUCAAACACUAAUAAAGGUAUGUUUCCUAGUAAAGGAUGUAUUUCACCCAUGGUAGUGUAAUGAUAAAUCCCAUUUUCAGGUUAAGACUACAUCUGGAGUGUUGAAACUUGGAGCCACUUUCUAAGAGGAUAAAUGGGAGGAUAAGAAGUCUUUAACCAUUUCUAUUGAGGAUAGGCUGCUGUAAUUACCUUAGAAAACAGGAGGCUUACCAGGUGGCUAUGAGAAGGCAGAAGUUGAACAUUGGUUCUACCUGGGUGAUGAAUUAGAAGUAGAAAAAAAUGAGAGGCAAAGACAGCUCCUAGAAGUGAAACCUCUUACACCGAGUAUGGUGUAAGUUGCCCGCAAAGAUGUGAGUUCCCAAACGCUGUGAGUACUUUAUCAGAGGUUGGGUGGCUCCACACCAGGGACUAAGGAUUCCUGCUUGGGAGAAAAGAGUAGAAGACUCUUGAGCAACUCUCUGAUGGAUAGUUUGUGGGGAAAGUAUUCCUUGAUAUAUUCUUUCUAACUAGGUAUAAAGAAUUGGAGCCACUAUUUGUUGAUUUUAGAAAUACCAAAAAAAAAAAA
Molecule: non-coding RNA, 12767 nt
Organism: Macaca mulatta (Rhesus monkey)
Lineage: Eukaryota; Metazoa; Chordata; Mammalia; Primates; Cercopithecidae
Source: RefSeq, a predicted model, not a curated record